UCAUGAACUGUGAGAUGGUGACCUGAGCUGAAAUCAAGAGUCAGACGCUUAGCCAACUGAAGCACCCCCAAAUUUUGCCUUUUUAACCAUAUAGUAAAACUGUUCAUUUAAUAAGAGGCCAUACUUCAGUAACCACUUAGCUUUGCCUUUCUACUAAAAUUUCACCACUUUGAAUUUAUGUGUCACUUUAUAGAAACCACAUGUUACUAUAAGCCUCUUUGUUAUUCAACAUUAUAUUAAAUAACAUGAGAGGAAGACUGUGGAGAUAAAUAGAGUUAAAACAAUAAGGAUAUAGAGCAUAAGAAUGGUUGGCAUUGAACAUAUUGAUUGUUACUGCAGUAUGGAAGAUGCUCUGUUGGAUACUAUGGCUGAAUUAUAAUACAAAUAAGAAACAGUUCUUUCCUGCCAGAGACAUAGGGAUGAAAGGUAUACAAAUAACUCAUUUAGUGUCUUCUGAGUAACAUGACAAGAACUGCUUUGGGAACUACAAGUCAUUCUUAAGGCUUGGAAGUACAGAUAGUGCUCUCUGUGCAGCUGGGUGUUUGCUUAAAAAUUUAGUUCUUAAACUUAGGUGUGUAUCAGAAUCAUCUGGAGGGUGCAUCAAAGAUUACUGGCUCCGCCUUCAGAGUUUCUGAUUUGGUGUCGGGGGUUGGGGCCUGAGGAGUUGCAUUUCUCGCAUGUUCCAGGUGAUGCAGAUGUGGUUUGGGAACUACUCUUUUGGAACCACCAGCUUAGAUCAAUAAACAGAGACUUGACCAAAGGAUAAGAAUAAAUCACAAAUCUGGAGAAGUGGAUAGGCAGAAGAUACAAGGGAUAUUGUCAGUAUUGAGCCAUGGUAAUACUUUAUAAAGACAAAAAAAAAAAAA
Herpailurus yagouaroundi (jaguarundi) is the source of this 866-nucleotide long non-coding RNA. RefSeq lists it as uncharacterized. The transcript is spliced from 2 exons. Lineage: Eukaryota; Metazoa; Chordata; Mammalia; Carnivora; Felidae. The record is from RefSeq and is a predicted model, not a curated record.